This 442-nucleotide ribosomal RNA is filed under the name uncultured bacterium. RNAcentral describes it as "partial 16S ribosomal RNA". It matches the Rfam family "Bacterial small subunit ribosomal RNA", at positions 338 to 795 of the family's 1533-position model. The record is from RNAcentral.
CCUACGGGUGGCAGCAGUGGGGAAUAUUGGGCAAUGGGCGAAAGCCUGACCCAGCAACGCCGCGUGAAGGAAGAAGGCUUUCGGGUUGUAAACUCCCUUUGACAGGGAAGCGCAGAAGACGGUACCUCUCGAGUAAGCCACGGCUAACUACGUGCCAGCCGCCGCGGUAAUACGGGGGUGGGAGGCGUUGUCCGGAUUGACUGGGUUUAAAGGGCGUGUAGUCGGGCUGGCAUGUCAGAUGUGAAAGCCCGGGGCACAAACCCCGAACUGCAUUUGAAACAGGUAGUCUUGAGUAGCAGAGAGGCAGGCGGAAUUCCUGGUGUAGCGGCGAAAUGCGUAGAUAUUAGGAGGAACACCAGUUGCGAAGGCGGCCUGCUGGACGAAAACUGACGGUGAGGCGCGAAAGCGUGGGGAGCGAACAGGAUUAGAUACCCGUGUAGUC